AGAUACUCUGCUGAUGGUUGCAAAACUUGCUGAUACCAUUCAGCCUUGCUCGCAAGGGCAAGGCGAGUUCUGUCGAGGACUGAUUUCGCAUAUAAUGCCCAGUGAUUGCGUUUACUUUUGGACAUACUUAGGGCAUGAUUCCAUCCCUUCAAGCAAUAGAUAAAAUCUUCAUUAUCAUCUGACGAAAGUGCAAGAUGAAGAUUUUCAAGAACCAGGGUGAUGAAAUACAUAAUUUUCUCUGGUCCAUCAUCAUUUAAUUCCUCAUAUCCUCUCUCAAUGGCUGUCCUCACAGUAGAAUCAAGGGCAAUAUCCAAAAAUAGAAGAUCUUUCAGACGAUUAUUAGACUUAAACAGCAAUGGCCUAAGCUCCUGCCGAGCCUCCAGUAAACCCUCAAGAAGCGCUUCAACAUUUUUAUCUUCAACAUGCUCGAGAACAUAUUGAAGCAAUUCUGGAAAUCCAGAUGGCAAGCCUGAAAUGGGAUUUAUCUGCACUCCAACCAUGAAGCCUUGACCCUCAGCUCUAUAGCCCAUACAAUUUGCAAUAGCAGACUCAAGAUCUGCACCAGAAUGAACUGCCUUUAAAGUUCUCAUAUAGUUUCCGAGAUCACGCAAAAGACCAUCCUUUUGAUCUCUCCUGAAGUUUGGUUCAGAAUGGAUGGCACGAUCAUAACUUAAAAGUCGUUCUUUCGUUAUUCCAUUUUCAUUCAAAGUUUUCCAGUACACACUGAUGUCAAAGUCACUUUUAAUGUGAUCAAUUAACGCCUGGCAGAUUACAACAUCAUCAGGGCUUGUGUUAUUAUGCAGCUUUUGAUGCCAUUCCUCCAUCAUACCACCUUUGCAAUCAUUGUUUCUCUGGAUAACUAAGAUUUCAUCCCGAAUACGCUGUCCCACAUCACCUUCACCACCUCGGCCAACAGUAGAUAUAAUCAUCCGCAAAAGCUCUCGAUACUGUGGAUGACUUGUAUAUAUAUUCUGGAGCAAGUCUGUCAGCCUAUCCUGUGCCUUGCUGAUCUCACGUGGUUUGACAUUGUAGUUUUUGUUCCAAAUAAGUUGCCUCGUGGCCAUAAAUCUCAUCCACACCAAGACUCCUGCAAGACCCAACUCUCCAGCAUCCUUUGCUUGCUCCAUCAAAUCAGCUGCAAUAUUAAAUCGAUGCAUGAAGGACUUCUGUGCUUCACUCCCCAGCUCUGCAAUUCUAUCCAAUAAAACUUUAGCUGUACCUCUUCCAUCAC
RNAcentral lists this unclassified non-coding RNA (1231 nucleotides) under Hevea brasiliensis (rubber tree). The record is from RNAcentral. Lineage: Eukaryota; Viridiplantae; Streptophyta; Magnoliopsida; Malpighiales; Euphorbiaceae.